AUUAGUGCAGAUGCAACAGUGGCAGAGAAGAAAGGUUCCAUGACCAUUUAUUAAUUUAUAAGUUUUGUUAUUCUUGUCUUACCUUUUAUCUACAUUAUCUUCUUUAUUCUUAUCUUAGCCAGUAUCUUUCAUUUUAGUGUUUCAAAUCCAUCUUCAGCUUCUUUUUUCAUAGAUUGCUAUCCCUUCCUUUCUCUGCUCUCCUGCAUCCCUCAAGCUGUUCAUUCUUCAGAUUUUUCAAUACUGCUGCAACUAUAUCCCCAUACAUAAAAUUUCCUGCAAAAUUAGACCCACAAUUAUUACAGCUUCACAUUUUCCUUGAUAUGCUUAAUGGCUUUAAAAACAUCAGAGGCAGCAAAAAUAAAGAUAACAUUUCAUGCUCGAUCUACAUUUGUUAUUUACAUUCAUCACUUUAGGAGGAAUGUAAGCAAAAUAGGUUGUGUUGUUUUAUGAUUGCAUUAGUUUGUUUUUAUAAUGCUCCACAAAGAAGUAUAGUUUUUUUUCUGAGUCUACAGUGGAAAACCUGGAAUGUAAGUCUGAAUUGUGUGUUACAGCUUUAAAUUUUACAAAAAGCUUUACUUUGCCAAGCCAUGUGUGGAGCAGCGAUUGGAGUGAACAACAGGGACUUUUGUGGAAAGAAUACAGCGAAAAUGAUGCUCUAAUGCAGAUCAGUGGUACGAAAUCAACAAAGAAGAAAGAAGAUACAUCAUGGUUAAAUCAGAUUACAGGUGAGUUAUUCCUUAUCCAAAAUGCUUGGAACAAGAUGUAUUCUGGAACUUUCCCCCCAGAUUUUGUACAUACAAAAUGAGCUAUCUUAGCAAUAGGACCCAAAGCUAAAUAUGAAAUUCAUUUAUGCUUCAUAUGCAUCUUAUAUACAUAGCUGAAAGAUAAUUUCAUGCACAAUGAUUUCAAUAUGUUUGUGCAUAAAGCAAAGUCUGUGUAUUGAAGAAUGAGAAAGCAAAAACAUCACUGUCUCAGCCAUCAACAUUGACAAUUUUGGAUUUUGGAGUAUUUUAGAUUUCAGAAUUCUGAAUAAGGCAUGUUUAACCUAUACAAAUAAAAUUAAAACAUUUUUCUCCAUUUACUUUCUAGGUAAACAUAUAGGUGAAAUCUAUUGGUAGUUAAAGAUUUUCCACAUAAUUCUAUGUGAUGCCCAUUUAUGUUUAAUUUCUUUUUCAGAUUUCCUUUUUGUAUAUCCGCUGAGAACACUGAAUUGAGAGCAUUCAAAUGUUUAUGGGCCAAUGUUUCCCCUUGAUAUACAUUACUGUAUUUCCUUGGAUUU
This 1279-nucleotide long non-coding RNA is filed under the name Anolis carolinensis (green anole). RNAcentral's name for it is "lncRNA (ENSACAG00000038573.1)". The record is from RNAcentral. Lineage: Eukaryota; Metazoa; Chordata; Lepidosauria; Squamata; Anolidae.